AGUUAAUGAACUUGAUAUAAGUAAAUGUUUUGAAAACAUUAUAAAGAGGUCUACUCCUCUAUUAACUU
RNAcentral lists this transfer RNA (68 nucleotides) under Carabus nemoralis. RNAcentral describes it as "tRNA-Ser". The record is from RNAcentral. Lineage: Eukaryota; Metazoa; Arthropoda; Insecta; Coleoptera; Carabidae.